UUUUUUUACAAGAGGACCUCGCGCUGUCUCGUCACCUAUAGCAACCAGUUGCUAUAGCGAUCGUUUUAGGUGCUGUUGUGCGCUUUUUUCUGAUGCGGGGUAAGCCGAGUGAGGCUGACCAACCUGCAUCGCAGAGCUUCACGCCUGAUUGAGCGGAUUCGAUUUCUUCAAACCCUGGAAUGCUUCCAUUACACGUUCCAGGGUUCGCACACUAGUUGCUCCAAUUUGCUAAUGAGCUUAUCAACCAGCUUCCCAAUAUUUGAGGAGACGAGCAAAGCGGCUUCAAACUCGGCUCCACACCUCCUCUGGUGAAGGAUACAUCGAUGUAUGCUAGCGUGGAAGUCUUCAUAUUUCUAGUUGCCGUGGUUACCCGAGGGCACCAUUGAAGUUCCAGCUUCCUUCAUUUCAGUGACUGCAAAUAUUGAGUGAUGUUGAUUUUUUAAAGCAAAUUUUCAUUGCAAACAAGCGAAUAAAUACAUAGAAUGUAAAACUUUUAUUCUGUAAUAUGUACCCAUGCCUGCAAAUGGAAUUGUACAUGCUUGGCCAUAUGUGAUCCAUUAAUAAAUGAAUAAUACAUUUGUGAAAACAUGGGUCCA
Anguilla rostrata (American eel) is the source of this 596-nucleotide long non-coding RNA. RefSeq lists it as uncharacterized. The transcript is spliced from 3 exons. Lineage: Eukaryota; Metazoa; Chordata; Actinopteri; Anguilliformes; Anguillidae. The record is from RefSeq and is a predicted model, not a curated record.